UGGGAAGCUCCCCACAACCAGAAAGAGGAAAACCAGGAGACGCUGAUGCCUGACCCACAAUCAGAUGAUACAUGAGAUCAUACAAUCCUCAGGUUCCCACCUCACCCUAUUCCAGAAUGUAAACAUAGGGAGCUGUAUGAAUGUGGAGAUACAACUCCUUCCAAAGGACGGUUGCCAAGAAAGAAGCGGAGAUUGCAAGGAGGACACACCACCAGGUUGGGUUUGGUGGGCCCAGAGCAUCAGGGAUGGACGAAAGGCCAGCCAGCCUGUGGCCAUCCUGCAAACACCCAGCUCCCCCUUUUGGCACUGCCCUUUGCGGCCUCCUGCAUUUCAUCCAGAUAUUUCCAGUAAAUAAACAUUGACGCUUUCGAUAUCA
Long non-coding RNA from Crotalus tigris (Tiger rattlesnake), 376 nucleotides. RefSeq lists it as uncharacterized. NCBI's taxonomy places the organism in Eukaryota, Metazoa, Chordata, Lepidosauria, Squamata, Viperidae. The transcript has 2 exons. The record is from RefSeq and is a predicted model, not a curated record.